RNAcentral lists this non-coding RNA (27 nucleotides) under Mus musculus (house mouse). The record is from RNAcentral. Lineage: Eukaryota; Metazoa; Chordata; Mammalia; Rodentia; Muridae.
UGAAAAUCCAUGUUGCCUUCUCUUUGG